ACGGCCUAAUGUGGAGGAUGUUUGCAGUUCCUGGGAGCUUUGAUUGCAUAAGGAGGGGUUAUUAUUACAGCAUUAAACAUUUCCAGACAACACAGAGGACAGGGAGGCUCAUAAACUGAGCAGAUCUCUCACAGUCAUGAUGCUUGCAGGUUUCUUCUUUCUGCUCCUCGUCACAGAUGGAAGUACCAACAAUUCCUCAGAACAUCCAAAUCUUCAGAUGAACUAUGAGGACGAUGUGAAUAGUAUAGACAUGGCUGACACAAAUCAACAAU
Anarrhichthys ocellatus (wolf-eel) is the source of this 272-nucleotide long non-coding RNA. RefSeq lists it as uncharacterized. The transcript has 3 exons. Lineage: Eukaryota; Metazoa; Chordata; Actinopteri; Perciformes; Anarhichadidae. The record is from RefSeq and is a predicted model, not a curated record.